Molecule: ribosomal RNA, 440 nt
Filed under: uncultured bacterium
Lineage: Bacteria
Description: partial 16S ribosomal RNA
Rfam family: Bacterial small subunit ribosomal RNA
Source: RNAcentral
CCUACGGGUGGCAGCAGUGGGGAAUCUUCCACAAUGGGCGAAACUCUGAUGCAGCGACGCCGCGUGAGUGAAGAAGUAUUUCGUUACGUAAAGCUCUGUCAGUAGGGAAGAAAAUGAACGUUACUGAGUAACCAUCCCCGGCUAACUACGUGCCAGCAGCCGCCGUAAUACGUAGGGGGCACGCGUUCUCCGGAUUUACUGGGUGUAAAGGGAGCGUAGACGGUGCGCCAAGUCUGAAGUGAAAUGCCGCAGCUUAACCGGGGAAGUGCAUUGGAAACUGGGGGACUAGAGUGCAGAAGAGGUGAGUGGAAUUCCAGGUGUAGCGGUGAAAUGCGUAGAUAUAAGGAGGAACACCAGUGGCGAAGGCGGCUUACUGGACUGUAACUGACGUUGAGGCUCGAAAGCGUGGGGAGCAAACAGGAUUAGAUACCCUAGUAGUC